AAGCAGGUCUGAUACAAUGCAAUGAGGACGUAGCUCGAAAAUGAGACUUUCCAUUGGUUUUUGAAGCAGAGGGAUUCCCAUGAACACACUUAUAGCCAUUUCUUGGCUGGUGGCAGCACUGAAGUUUUCAAUCCCUUCAGCUAAGCCUACUUCAUCAGAUGGAAAUUUAAGUUUGUGGACGGAUAUUUCGUGGCCUAAUUCAGUAGCAUGAUCGAUUGAGGACUCGAAAAGGAGGGCGUUGUAGGGGGUUGUGAUGAUACUAACUUUGACACCAUGACUAGCAAAAAGUCUAGCAAUAUCAACUAAUGGGAUCAUAUGACUUGGUGUGAAAUAUGGAAUGAAAACUACAUGAAGUGUUU
Molecule: unclassified non-coding RNA, 359 nt
Filed under: Hevea brasiliensis (rubber tree)
Lineage: Eukaryota; Viridiplantae; Streptophyta; Magnoliopsida; Malpighiales; Euphorbiaceae
Source: RNAcentral